GCGGUGUUCGGAUCACCGCAAUAAGAAUCUCUUGACACCUGCAUUGAUGGGCCUCCUGAACAAGAACUGUGACUAUAAAGGCGGAAAUGAUCUCCGGCGAUGCCGGUAUAGUUCAGCCUUGCAGUCGGAUCAUUCGCUCAGCUACAUCCCCCAUCAUCCCGGCCAUCCGUCUUCGCGAUGCGUAUCCCCCGGACCGCCAACUGCGGCUGUUCACUCGCAACAAGAUUUUAUUCAGCACGUGCUGCGCGCUACGACGUUUUCGCCGAAUUAACCAGCAGUAGUAUCGAUCCGUCGGCGUUUCUCGCUGCUUAUCCGACGAGCAAUUCUUUCUGUACUGGCACAUAUGCCGUUUCUCCGCACUAUCCCUUUAAAUUCCAGUUAAGCCGAUUCCCAGUUUAUUUUCCCAACCUUUUUCCUUGUUUAAGCGUUCUUCAUCCACUAGUGGGCCUGGAGAGUUGUUGGCUAACUGAUUAUGCUGGUUUCCGAAUCGGUACCAUGCCUUUGGGAAAACUUCUUCUUCUCCCUAUACACAGGCCGGAAUACUCCUUAGAAUCGGACAGUGGUCUGUAUGAUCCGUUUGUAGUGGAUAUACUGGGAGCGUCCGGUGCACUGAUGCGUGGGUAUGUCUGUGAUGUGGACGAGCACGACGUGUCCGUUAGGCUGGACGCCCACACGGUGCAGCAUGCCGCGUAUGGUGAUGUGUGGAGUGUUAAAGAUCCCGAUUUCGAUGAAUCCACGACGGACCUGAACUCGGGCGAUAUCGAAGUUCGCAUCGACCUCCAGGACAGCGGCGUGGCGGCGUGGACGCCGGCUCGCUUGGUGGACAGCAUUCGCUGGGCGGAGACCGAAUGGUACCUCCGUUCAUCUCCUGCUGCGACAGUGUGCCUUCGAUGCGAAGAAGUCAAUUAACUUGCCUGUAGUAUGUCGUAACGGGGGGACGGAGGGCGUGGACCGCGAUCUGUACACCCGAUACACAGACACCUUCUUUCUCAACGUGCCUCGUUGGUCGUUCAGUGUUGCCGGCACAACGACAGCGGAUUACUCGGCUUCCGUUCGCCGAAUGUUCGAAGUGUGCUGUCCGGAACUGGAGGGCACACAGCUGCAUCGUCUGCUGUAUGGCUUAAACGCUUUCACAGUCCCCGAGCAUCUGCCGGAGGAAUUACAUCUGGGCGUUUCUGAGCGUCUCUUUUAUGCUGUGGAACAGUCCGCCUCCCGAUACCAUUUCUGACAUCCAGACGGCCAUUAUGACAGAGUCGCCUCAGCGAAAACUGGUGACCCAAACGCUGCAUUUAUUACCAUUUUUGCAGUAAAUGCGGUAAAAAGACGUUUUAUUGUUGUUUUCGUAUUUUAAUUCUCUUUGACCACUCGUCGUUUUGAUGACCAUCACAAUACAUCAUUGCUCAAAUACUUGUUGAGAUUGAUCGUUUGAGCAGUUGGCAUAUUCUGUACAAUUUUUCUCUCAGCUGUUAUAAGCGGCAAUGGUUAACAUGGGAGUGCAAAACGGUUACCAUGCGUGUGAGUCCGACAUGGUCAUC
This is an RNA transcript of Paramacrobiotus metropolitanus, 1535 nucleotides long. RefSeq lists it as uncharacterized. NCBI's taxonomy places the organism in Eukaryota, Metazoa, Tardigrada, Eutardigrada, Parachela, Macrobiotidae. The transcript has 3 exons. The record is from RefSeq and is a predicted model, not a curated record.